AUUGAACGCUGGCGGCAUGCUUUACACAUGCAAGUCGAACGGUAACAGGUUAAGCUGACGAGUGGCGAACGGGUGAGUAAUGCAUCGGAACGUGCCCGGUCGUGGGGGAUAACGCAGCGAAAGCUGCGCUAAUACCGCAUACGAUCUGAGGAUGAAAGCGGGGGGACCGUAAGGCCUCGCGCGAUCGGAGCGGCCGAUGUCAGAUUAGGUAGUUGGUGGGGUAAAGGCUCACCAAGCCGACGAUCUGUAGCUGGUCUGAGAGGACGACCAGCCACACUGGGACUGAGACACGGCCCAGACUCCUACGGGAGGCAGCAGUGGGGAAUUUUGGACAAUGGGCGCAAGCCUGAUCCAGCAAUGCCGCGUGCAGG
This 371-nucleotide ribosomal RNA is filed under the name uncultured bacterium. RNAcentral's name for it is "bacterial SSU rRNA". It matches the Rfam family "Bacterial small subunit ribosomal RNA", at positions 29 to 407 of the family's 1533-position model. The record is from RNAcentral.